This 656-nucleotide ribosomal RNA is filed under the name uncultured Actinomycetales bacterium. Its description in RNAcentral is "bacterial SSU rRNA". It matches the Rfam family "Bacterial small subunit ribosomal RNA", at positions 62 to 730 of the family's 1533-position model. The record is from RNAcentral. Lineage: Bacteria; Bacillati; Actinomycetota; Actinomycetes; Actinomycetales.
UCGAACGGAAAGGCCCUGCUUGCAGGGUACUCGAGUGGCGAACGGGUGAGUAACACGUGGGUGAUCUGCCCUGCACUUCGGGAUAAGCUUGGGAAACUGGGUCUAAUACCGGGUAGGAACCAUCUUUAGUGUGGUGGUUGGAAAGUUUUUUCGGUGUAGGAUGAGCUCGCGGCCUAUCAGCUUGUUGGUGGGGUAAUGGCCUACCAAGGCGGCGACGGGUAGCCGGCCUGAGAGGGUGUACGGCCACAUUGGGACUGAGAUACGGCCCAGACUCCUACGGGAGGCAGCAGUGGGGAAUAUUGCACAAUGGGCGCAAGCCUGAUGCAGCGACGCCGCGUGGGGGAUGAAGGCCUUCGGGUUGUAAACUCCUUUCGCUAGGGACGAAGCUUUUUGGUGACGGUACCUAGAUAAGAAGCACCGGCUAACUACGUGCCAGCAGCCGCGGUAAUACGUAGGGUGCGAGCGUUGUCCGGAAUUACUGGGCGUAAAGGGCUCGUAGGUGGUUUGUCGCGUCGUCUGUGAAAUUCUGGGGCUUAACUCCGGGCGUGCAGGCGAUACGGGCAUAACUUGAGUGCCGUAGGGGUAACUGGAAUUCCUGGUGUAGCGGUGAAAUGCGCAGAUAUCAGGAGGAACACCGAUGGCGAAGGCAGGUUACU